Hemiscyllium ocellatum (epaulette shark) is the source of this 871-nucleotide long non-coding RNA. RefSeq lists it as uncharacterized. The transcript has 4 exons. Lineage: Eukaryota; Metazoa; Chordata; Chondrichthyes; Orectolobiformes; Hemiscylliidae. The record is from RefSeq and is a predicted model, not a curated record.
UCGAACUGAUUUGGAGCUGAAACGUCCUUUCUGCACGAAUCGAGCAGGGAGGGACGGCCUGCCCUGCUGCAUUUUUUAGGAGUGCGCGCAGGGCUAAGCUGUUUACUCACGCGCGAAGAAUGCGUAGUUGUUCACCCGGGAGGGGUCAGACUGGGAGCGGUGCGGCUUCAUUGCUCUCCGUUCUUGUUCUAAAAUGGAUGAUCCUUCCCGGAACCGCACAAACAGGUUUACUUGUCAUGAGGCUGAAAUGAGGGAUAGAUAUUCCCUACAAAGACACAGAUUAAUUUUCCAUACUGGAUCCUCCAUCUUGACCUAUUCCUUCCAAGAGAACAACUCGUGACUGCUUUACCAAUGACGUUAUUGUUGCAGGUCUUUUCCACCAAAAGUGGUGGGCCUGCCUGUUGGAAUGGUGGUUGUUGUGACUGCCUGCCUAAGAAGAUGAUGCAAGUGGAAUAGGACUGACAGCAAGCCCAGGAGCAGGCUAACAUGAAGGAUGAGGUGCACCAAGCUCAGGGAGAGGUCACAGCCCCAGGACAAAUGGUUUGGUUUUGCUCAGUAAGGGGAUCAAGGAUGGUGAGGAUAAGGCAGGAGAAUGGAGUUAAGAAACGUAUCAGCCAUAAUCGAAUGGAAGAACAGACUUCAAGGAUUGAAUGACCUAAUUCUGCUCGAUAUCUUAUGGACUACUCCCUUAUUUUUCCUGUUUUAUUGCCAUUGGGCAGCAUUAUUCUGUUGAUUAUUCUGCAAUUCACACCUCCUGCAGAAACAUUUUUUGUUUCUAUAUGGGUCACAUUGCCAUUCUCUUUGGCUUUGCCUCAAUUACUUUAUCAUUUACAUAUAUCUUCUCAAAUGUUCUUUGUCCACUCUCACUUUC